AUUAACCCGGGAGAAAGCGGCGAUGAUGGUACUCGCCAGAGACCACAUUGAAUCACAGUGGAGUGAGAGAGAAACGAUGUUGGUGGUGCACGCCGGAGACCACCAACAGUAUUGAUAGAUAAUGUGAAGUAUGUAACCUAUUCUUGCAUGCUUUCUUUUAAGGAUCUAUUCCUCUAGUGGCUACCUGAGAACGGAAAACUUAUGUGGAAAAUGCAUCUUCACUGAUC
This 227-nucleotide long non-coding RNA is filed under the name Solanum tuberosum (potato). Its description in RNAcentral is "long non-coding RNA (STUB_LNC000384)". Lineage: Eukaryota; Viridiplantae; Streptophyta; Magnoliopsida; Solanales; Solanaceae. The record is from RNAcentral.